Molecule: transfer RNA, 73 nt
Filed under: Candidatus Zhuqueibacterota bacterium
Lineage: Bacteria; Pseudomonadati
Description: candidate division KSB1 bacterium (marine metagenome) tRNA-Pro
Rfam family: tRNA
About the family: Transfer RNA (tRNA) molecules are approximately 80 nucleotides in length. Their secondary structure includes four short double-helical elements and three loops (D, anti-codon, and T loops).
Source: RNAcentral
CUGGCUGUGUUGUUUAACGGUAGCAUCCGUGGUUUGGAACCACGGGGAGGAGGUUCAAAUCCUUCCAGCCAGA